This 428-nucleotide ribosomal RNA is filed under the name uncultured Pseudomonas sp. Its description in RNAcentral is "bacterial SSU rRNA". It matches the Rfam family "Bacterial small subunit ribosomal RNA", at positions 954 to 1382 of the family's 1533-position model. Lineage: Bacteria; Pseudomonadati; Pseudomonadota; Gammaproteobacteria; Pseudomonadales; Pseudomonadaceae. The record is from RNAcentral.
AAGCAACGCGAAGAACCUUACCAGGCCUUGACAUGCAGAGAACUUUCCAGAGAUGGAUUGGUGCCUUCGGGAACUCUGACACAGGUGCUGCAUGGCUGUCGUCAGCUCGUGCGUGAGAUGUUGGGUUAAGUCCCGUAACGAGCGCAACCCUUGUCCUUAGUUACCAGCACGUUAUGGUGGGCACUCUAAGGAGACUGCCGGUGACAAACCGGAGGAAGGUGGGGAUGACGUCAAGUCAUCAUGGCCCUUACGGCCUGGGCUACACACGUGCUACAAUGGUCGGUACAAAGGGUUGCCAAGCCGCGAGGUGGAGCUAAUCCCAUAAAACCGAUCGUAGUCCGGAUCGCAGUCUGCAACUCGACUGCGUGAAGUCGGAAUCGCUAGUAAUCGUGAAUCAGAAUGUCACGGUGAAUACGUUCCCGGGCCUU